AAAAAGCUCGUAGUUGGAUCUGGGUCGCAUGGUUAUGUGCCGUUGCUCUUGGCUUGGUCGUGACCUUGUCAGGGCGAUUCGGUGUCGUGGCUGUGCAGCCUUUCUGCCGUAUCUGUUUCGACAGGUGCUAAUGGGCCAUGUGCUUGUUGGCAUGCUUCCAGAUGCCUUUAAACGGGUGUCGGGGGCGGACGGCACGUUUACUUUGAACAAAUUUGAGUGCUCAAAGCAGGCUUAUGCCUGAAAAUUCUUGCAUGGAAUAAUGGAAUAGGACUUCGGUUCUAUUUUGUUGGUUUUCGGAUCCGAAGUAAUGGUUAAGAGGGACAGACGGGGGCAUUUGUAUGGCGGUGUUAGAGGUGAAAUUCUUGGAUCGCCGCCAGACAGACUACAGCGAAAGCAUUUGCCAAGGAUGUUUUCAUUGAUCUUGAGCGAAAGUCAGAGGUUCGAAGACGAUCAGAUACCGUCCUAGUUCUGACCAUAAACGAUGCCAACUGACCAUCCGUGGAUGUUCUUUAAGUGGCUCCAC
This 523-nucleotide ribosomal RNA is filed under the name Diphterostomum brusinae. Its description in RNAcentral is "SSU rRNA". It matches the Rfam family "Eukaryotic small subunit ribosomal RNA", at positions 621 to 1080 of the family's 1831-position model. The record is from RNAcentral. Lineage: Eukaryota; Metazoa; Platyhelminthes; Trematoda; Plagiorchiida; Zoogonidae.